GAUGAACGCUGGCGGCGUGCCUAAUACAUGCAAGUCGAGCGAACAGACGAGGAGCUUGCUCCUCUGACGUUAGCGGCGGACGGGUGAGUAACACGUGGAUAACCUACCUAUAAGACUGGGAUAACUUCGGGAAACCGGAGCUAAUACCGGAUAACAUGUUGAACCGCAUGGUUCAACAGUGAAAGACGGUCUUGCUGUCACUUAUAGAUGGAUCCGCGCCGCAUUAGCUAGUUGGUAAGGUAACGGCUUACCAAGGCAACGAUGCGUAGCCGACCUGAGAGGGUGAUCGGCCACACUGGAACUGAGACACGGUCCAGACUCCUACGGGAGGCAGCAGUAGGGAAUCUUCCGCAAUGGGCGAAAGCCUGACGGAGCAACGCCGCGUGAGUGAAGAAGGUCUUCGGAUCGUAAAACUCUGUUAUUAGGGAAGAACAAAUGUGUAAGUAACUAUGAACGUCUUGACGGUACCUAAUCAGAAAGCCACGGCUAACUACGUG
RNAcentral lists this ribosomal RNA (497 nucleotides) under uncultured bacterium. RNAcentral describes it as "partial 16S ribosomal RNA". It matches the Rfam family "Bacterial small subunit ribosomal RNA", at positions 28 to 507 of the family's 1533-position model. The record is from RNAcentral.